GCCGGGGUAGCUCAGUGGUAGAGCACAUGACUGAAAAUCAUGGUGUCGAGAGUUCGAUUCUCUCCCCCGGCA
RNAcentral lists this transfer RNA (72 nucleotides) under Candidatus Portnoyibacteriota bacterium. RNAcentral's name for it is "Candidatus Portnoybacteria bacterium tRNA-Phe". It matches the Rfam family "tRNA". From Rfam's summary of the family: Transfer RNA (tRNA) molecules are approximately 80 nucleotides in length. Their secondary structure includes four short double-helical elements and three loops (D, anti-codon, and T loops). Lineage: Bacteria; Candidatus Portnoyibacteriota. The record is from RNAcentral.